AGCUAUGGGUCAAGUCCGAUAUCUUUAGGAGAAGUCUUAGGGUGAGGGCGAGUUAUAUAACACCAUAGGACUGGCCGUCCCAUAUGAAAAGAUUAUAUUAGAAUUGAAUGAAGCUUUGUUUAUAUAUUGAUAAUGACAGUAUAUAUAUCGUGUCUUGACUAAUUGCGUGCCAGCAGUCGCGGUAAUACGUAAGAGACUAGUGUUAUUCAUCUUAAUUAGGUUUAAAGGGUACCCAGACGGUCAAUAUAGCUUAUAAAAUGUUAGUACUUGACUAGAGUUUUAUGUAAGAGGGCAGUACUUGAGGAGGAGAGAUGAAAUUUCGUGAUACCAAAGGGACUCUGUAAAGGCGAAGGCAGCCCUCUAUGUAAAAACUGACGUUGAAGGACGAAGGCACAGAGAACAAACAGGAUUAGAUACCCAAGUAGUCUUUGCAGUAAAUGAUGAAUGCCAUAGGUUAGAUUGAUCAAUUAUAGUCUAGGGUUAGUCUAGCAAACUAAUGCCCUAUGAUAUAAUUCAAAAUAUCUGGUCUAUAAAUGAAAGUGUAAGCAUUUCACCUCAAGAGA
This 563-nucleotide ribosomal RNA is filed under the name Fusarium solani. Its description in RNAcentral is "SSU rRNA". It matches the Rfam family "Bacterial small subunit ribosomal RNA", at positions 51 to 873 of the family's 1533-position model. Lineage: Eukaryota; Fungi; Ascomycota; Sordariomycetes; Hypocreales; Nectriaceae. The record is from RNAcentral.